GACGAACGCUGGCGGCGUGCUUAACACAUGCAAGUCGAACGGAAAGGCCCUGCUUUUGUGGGGUGCUCGAGUGGCGAACGGGUGAGUAACACGUGAGUAACCUGCCCUUGACUUUGGGAUAACUUCAGGAAACUGGGGCUAAUACCGGAUAGGAGCUCCUGCUGCAUUGUGGGGGUUGGAAAGUUUCGGCGGGUGGGGAUGGACUCGCGGCUUAUCGGCUUGUUGGUGGGGUAGUGGCUUACCAAGGCUUGGACGGGUAGCCGGCCUGUGAGGGUGACCGGCCACAUUGGGACUGAGAUACGGCCCAGACUGCUACGGGAGGCAGCAGUGGGGAAUAUUGCACAGUGGGCGGGAGCCUGAUGCAGCAACGCCGCGUGCGGGAUGACGGCCUUCGGGGUAUAAACCGCUUUCGCCUGUGACGAAGCGUGAGUGACGGUAAUGGGUAAAGAAGCACCGGCUAACUACGUG
Molecule: ribosomal RNA, 468 nt
Filed under: uncultured bacterium
Lineage: Bacteria
Description: partial 16S ribosomal RNA
Rfam family: Bacterial small subunit ribosomal RNA
Source: RNAcentral